Molecule: ribosomal RNA, 573 nt
Filed under: uncultured Glomeromycotina
Lineage: Eukaryota; Fungi; Glomeromycota
Description: SSU rRNA
Rfam family: Eukaryotic small subunit ribosomal RNA
Source: RNAcentral
UUGGAGGGCAAGUCUGGUGCCAGCAGCCGCGGUAAUUCCAGCUCCAAUAGCGUAUAUUAAAGUUGUUGCAGUUAAAAAGCUCGUAGUUGAAUUUCGGGAUUGACGUGAUGGUCAUGCCUUAAGGGGUAUGGACUGUUGCUGUUGAUUUCUCACCUUCUGGAGAAACUUGAUGUCCUUAAUUGGGUGUCUUGCGGAUCCAGGACCUUUACCUUGAAAAAAUUAGAGUGUUUAAAGCAGGCAUUUUUGCUCGAAUACAUUAGCAUGGAAUAAUAGAAUAGGACGGCAUGGUUCUAUUUUGUUGGUUUCUAGGAUCACCGUAAUGAUUAAUAGGGAUAGUUGGGGGCAUUAGUAUUCAAUUGUCAGAGGUGAAAUUCUUGGAUUUAUUGAAGACUAACUACUGCGAAGGCAUUUGCCAAGGAUGUUUUCAUUAAUCAAGAACGAAAGUUAGGGGAUCGAAGACGAUCAGAUACCGUCGUAGUCUUAACCAUAAACUAUGCCGACUAGGAAUCAGACGAUGUUAAUUUUUUAAUGACUCGUUUGGCACCUUACGGGAAACCAAAAGUGUUUGGGUUC